RNAcentral lists this ribosomal RNA (694 nucleotides) under uncultured bacterium. RNAcentral's name for it is "bacterial SSU rRNA". It matches the Rfam family "Bacterial small subunit ribosomal RNA", at positions 32 to 715 of the family's 1533-position model. The record is from RNAcentral.
AACGCUAGCUACAGGCUUAACACAUGCAAGUCGAGGGGUAACGAGAGGGAAGCUUGCUUUCCUUGUCGACGACCGGCGCACGGGUGAGUAACGCGUAUCCAACCUGCCCAUUACCACGGGAUACCCCGUCGAAAGGCGGCCUAAUACCGUAUGCAGUCGUCAGAUGACAUCAGAGGACGACGAAAGGAUUGGCGGUAAUGGAUGGGGAUGUGUCUGAUUAGGUAGUUGGAGGGGUAACGGCCCACCAAGCCAUCGAUCAGUAGGGGUUCUGAGAGGAAGGUCCCCCACAUUGGAACUGAGACACGGUCCAAACUCCUACGGGAGGCAGCAGUGAGGAAUAUUGGUCAAUGGGCGCGAGCCUGAACCAGCCAAGUAGCGUGAGGGAUGACGGCCCUAUGGGUUGUAAACCUCUUUUAUGCGGGAAUAAAAUGUUUGACGUGUCAUACAUUGUAGGUACCGCAAGAAUAAGGACCGGCUAAUUCCGUGCCAGCAGCCGCGGUAAUACGGAGGAUCCGAGCGUUAUCCGGAUUUAUUGGGUUUAAAGGGAGCGUAGAUGGAUGUUUAAGUCAGUUAUGAAAGUUUGCGGCUCAACCGUAAAAUUGCAGUUGAUACUGGAUAUCUUGAGUGCAGUUGAGGCAGGCGGAAUUCGUGGUGUAGCGGUGAAAUGCUUAGAUAUCACGAAGAACUCCGAUUG